GGGGAUAUAGCUCAGUUGGUAGAGUGCUUGCCUCACAUGCAUAAGGCCCUGGGUUCAAUCCCCAGCAUCACAA
Molecule: transfer RNA, 73 nt
Filed under: Marmota marmota marmota (Alpine marmot)
Lineage: Eukaryota; Metazoa; Chordata; Mammalia; Rodentia; Sciuridae
Also listed under: 3 other names
Rfam family: tRNA
About the family: Transfer RNA (tRNA) molecules are approximately 80 nucleotides in length. Their secondary structure includes four short double-helical elements and three loops (D, anti-codon, and T loops). Further hydrogen bonds mediate the characteristic L-shaped molecular structure. tRNAs have two regions of fundamental functional importance: the anti-codon, which is responsible for specific mRNA codon recognition, and the 3' end, to which the tRNAs corresponding amino acid is attached (by aminoacyl-tRNA synthetases). tRNAs cope with the degeneracy of the genetic code in two manners: having more than one tRNA (with a specific anti-codon) for a particular amino acid; and 'wobble' base-pairing, i.e. permitting non-standard base-pairing at the 3rd anti-codon position.
Source: Rfam by way of RNAcentral